CACUAAGAAGCUAAACCGGGUUUAGCGUUAGCCUUUUAAGCUAGAAAUUGGUGACUCCCAACCACCCUUGGUGA
RNAcentral lists this transfer RNA (74 nucleotides) under Pristiophorus japonicus. RNAcentral's name for it is "tRNA-Lys". It matches the Rfam family "tRNA". Rfam says of the family: Transfer RNA (tRNA) molecules are approximately 80 nucleotides in length. Their secondary structure includes four short double-helical elements and three loops (D, anti-codon, and T loops). Lineage: Eukaryota; Metazoa; Chordata; Chondrichthyes; Pristiophoridae. The record is from RNAcentral.